Symphalangus syndactylus (siamang) is the source of this 683-nucleotide long non-coding RNA. RefSeq lists it as uncharacterized. The record is from RefSeq and is a predicted model, not a curated record. Lineage: Eukaryota; Metazoa; Chordata; Mammalia; Primates; Hylobatidae.
GGGUGACUCCCGUGCAGGCUGAUUUCUGGCUUACGUCACAGUCCAGUCUGAUUUUCUGCAAAUUUCUCUCUACAAGAUGAUUUGGGGACCUCAGUUUACCAUCUCCCAGCAGACUGAUGGGUGCGGGAGGAGAAUCACAAAUAUUGUGGCUAGUACAGAACAACCUCUUCCACCAAGCCAGUUGUGACUGCUGCGGAUGGAGAUGGACACCUGGUGAAUGAUUUAAUCCACCAACAAUCGUGGCACACAGCCAUCGUCUUCCCGAUGCCAGGACUCAGAGGCUGAGCCCGGGGUGCUGAGAGCCUGAGCCCACAGCUUCGGGGUGAGGAAUGGAGCUCGCCGAGCGCGGCUUAUCUUUCAAGGGAGCUCACACUCUUUUACAACACUCGAGAGAAGAGGACACGCAGCGGGACACCGGGGAAGAGGGUGGCGUGACAGUGGAAGCAAAGGCUGCAGUGAGGCAUGGACGUCUACAAGCCGAGGCGCAGCCGGGAUGGCCGGCCACCGGAAGCUGAAGGGACAAGGAAGGAGCCCCCUGAGGAAGUGCUGCUGGCCCACACCUUGAUCUUGGACUUCCAGCCUCCAGAGCUGGGAGAGAAGAGAUUCCGUUGUGCAAACACCUGGUCUAUGGUGCUUCGUCCCUGCAGAUGCAGCAAGCGGGCCCACCCAAGAAUAAAUGUGAA